Molecule: ribosomal RNA, 21 nt
Filed under: Triphasia trifolia
Lineage: Eukaryota; Viridiplantae; Streptophyta; Magnoliopsida; Sapindales; Rutaceae
Also listed under: 3 other names
Description: partial 26S ribosomal RNA
Source: RNAcentral
CCGCGACCCCAGGUCAGGCGG